RNA transcript from Sapajus apella (tufted capuchin), 452 nucleotides. It is a transcript of the gene named 40S ribosomal protein SA pseudogene, with no coding region annotated. The record is from RefSeq and is a predicted model, not a curated record. The transcript has a single exon. Lineage: Eukaryota; Metazoa; Chordata; Mammalia; Primates; Cebidae.
CACUCAGUGGGCUUGAUGUGGAUGCUGGGCGGGAAAGUUCUGCGCAUGCGUGGCACCAUUUCCCACGAACACCCAUGAGAGGUCAUGCCUGAUCUCUACUUCUACAGAGACCCUGAAGAGAUUGAAAAAGAAGAGCAGGCUGCUGCUGAAAAGCCUGUGACCAAGGAGGAGUUUCAGGGCGAAUGGACUACUCCGGCUCCUGAGUUAUCUGCUCCUCAGCCUGAGGUUGCAGACUGGUCUGAUGGCGUGCAGAUGCCCUCUGUGCCUAUUCAGCAGUUCCCUACUGAGGACUGGAGCACCCAGCCUGCCACGGAAGACUGGUCUGCAGCUCCAACUGCUCAGGCCACUGAAUGGGUCGGAGCAACCACUGAAUGGUCUUAAGCUGUUCUUGUACCGGCUCUUAAGCAACAUGGAAGUAAGGUUGAUGGAAAAUAAACAUCAGUUUCUAAGAA